CUCGUAGGCGGCCAACUAAGUCAUACGUGAAAUCCCUCGGCUUAACCGGGGAACUGCGUCUGAUACUGGUUGGCUUGAGUUUGGGAGAGGGAUGCGGAAUUCCAGGUGUAGCGGUGAAAUGCGUAGAUAUCUGGAGGAACACCGGUGGCGAAGGCGGCAUCCUGGACCAACACUGACGCUGAGGAGCGAAAGCCAGGGGAGCAAACGGGAUUAGAUACCCCGGUAGUCCUGGCCCUAAACGAUGAAUGCUUGGUGUGACGGGUAUCGAUCCCUGUCGUGCCGAAGCUAACGCAUUAAGCAUUCCGCCUGGGGAGUACGGUCGCAAGGCUGAA
RNAcentral lists this ribosomal RNA (332 nucleotides) under uncultured bacterium. Its description in RNAcentral is "bacterial SSU rRNA". It matches the Rfam family "Bacterial small subunit ribosomal RNA", at positions 568 to 898 of the family's 1533-position model. The record is from RNAcentral.